GGUCCAAUCGUAUAGUGGCUUAUUAUGCUGUCUUAGGGCGAUUCGCCGAAGGUGGCGCACAGACCGUAUGACAGAGGUCCUGAGUUCGAUUCUCAGUUGGACCC
This 104-nucleotide transfer RNA is filed under the name Pseudozyma flocculosa. RNAcentral's name for it is "Anthracocystis flocculosa transfer RNA-Pseudo(AGG)". The record is from RNAcentral. Lineage: Eukaryota; Fungi; Basidiomycota; Ustilaginomycetes; Ustilaginales; Ustilaginaceae.